This 479-nucleotide ribosomal RNA is filed under the name uncultured soil bacterium. RNAcentral describes it as "bacterial SSU rRNA". It matches the Rfam family "Bacterial small subunit ribosomal RNA", at positions 26 to 518 of the family's 1533-position model. The record is from RNAcentral.
AGGACGAACGCUGGCGGCGUGCUUAACACAUGCAAGUCGAACGGUAAGGCCCCUUCGGGGGUACACGAGUGGCGAACGGGUGAGUAACACGUGGGUAAUCUGCCCUGCACUUCGGGAUAAGCCUGGGAAACUGGGUCUAAUACCGGAUAUGAACUCCUGCCGCAUGGUGGGGGUUGGAAAGUUUUUCGGUGCAGGAUGAGCCCGCGGCCUAUCAGCUUGUUGGUGGGGUAAUGGCCUACCAAGGCGACGACGGGUAGCCGGCCUGAGAGGGUGAUCGGCCACACUGGGACUGAGACACGGCCCAGACUCCGUACGGGAGGCAGCAGUGGGGAAUAUUGCACAAUGGGCGAAAGCCUGAUGCAGCGACGCCGCGGUGGGGAUGACGGUCUUCGGAUUCGUAAACCCGUUUGGUAGGGACGAAGGCGCAAGUGACGGUACCUGCAGAAGAAGCACGGCUAACUACGUGCUAGCCGAGCCGC